GUAGAGAUGAAGUUUCUCCAUGUUGGUCAGGCUGGUCUCAAACUCCCCACCUCGGGUGAUCUGCCCGCCUUGGCCUACCAAAGUGCUGGGAUUACAGGCGUGAGCCACCGUGCCAGGCCGAGAACAUUUUGUUUUAAACCUACAUUGACAGGACAGAAUGAUCCAUUACAAUGUGACAGGCAAUGCCAGCGUAGCUGGAUCUGAAAGGCUUAUGAGCAGAAGGAAGGGUUUUUGACUCAAAAAGAUCUGAAUACCAAUUCUGGCUGUUCCUCAAGCAAAUGAGAUCCUAUUUUCUGUUUGCUCAUCUGUGGGAGAAUUGUAAUGGUCCUUUUCCUGUUAAUAGAGUGAGACGAUGGUAACAAGCAGUAGUGGAGUUCAUGGUCCCAGGAUCCCACAUUUCUGAGCCACUCAGAAUGAGAAUGUGGUAGAAAGAUGAGCUGUGAGGGGCGACUGAGGAAGCUGAUGUGAGGGGCUGGACGUGUGGAUGUGGAACUGCGGCCACGGCACAGUUCCGGGGCCUUCCAUGCACGGAAGGAAAAGCCGUCAGUUAUCGAACGCCUGCUCAGCUCUGGGUCGCCUGUUUACCAAGUGCUCGUCGGAGGACACAGUCCUGAUGAUGUGGAGCUUCCAUCCCAGCAGAAGAGAGGGACGUGCGUGGGUUCCAGAGUCAUGCUAUAUCAUCACAAACCACAAAGGCCCGUGAGAGGAAGUACAGGGUGCCAGGAAACUCACAGCAGGCCCGGAAUGGGGAGGCGAUGACUUGUGAUGAGAAAGGGCUGAUGGGAUUAGAAUCCAGUCUGUGUCCAUAAGACACAGUCAAGUCCACUGUUACACAGGAGUCAAACCGGUGACCUUGUGGAGGGGAACAACACCGAUUACUCGGUCCUGGCCCGGGGGACCAUGGCUUCCUAUGGAGCAGCCGCUCCUGCCUUCCCUUGGUACAGCAGAGAUGUGAAAAUCUAGCUCCAAGUCAGAUGUGUUUAGGAAACUUUGGGCUAACAAAGGGAAACAUUUGUUUCCUCGAGGCUGUGAGAGCUGUCAUUAAUGUGCUGAGCUGCACUGUGUCCUGAGCAGGAGCCUGCGGGGACUUGGCACAGAGCCUUGGUGCGUCCCACUGCACCUCCAGACCAGACCUCAGAGUCGGGGCCACUGCACCUCCAGACCAGACCUCAGAGUCGGGGCCACUGCACCUCCAGACCAGAUCGCAGAGUCGGGGCCACUGCACCUCCAGACCAGACCUCAGGAUCGGGGCCACUGCACCUCCAGACCAGAUCGCAGAGUCGGGGCCACCGCACCUCCAGACCAGACCGCAGGGUUGGGGCCACCGCACCUCCAGACCAGAUCACAGAGUCGGGGCCACUGCACCUCCAGACCAGACCGCAGGGUCGGGGCCACCGCACCUCCAGACCAGAACUCAGAGUCGGUGCUACCGCAGAGUCAGGGCCACUGCAUCUCCAGACCAGAUCGCAGAGUCAGGGAGCCAUCGUAUGGGGCUCCCCAUGAAGCGCUGCCUUCAGAUGGGGCAUCUGUGGAGGGACUUGUGUAAGUGGACUGUGUUUAGUGAGAGAGAGAAGCUGGUUUCUAAAAAGGAUUUUUUUGUUUUACUUUGGAAUAUUUUACUGUGGACCAAGGAGAAAUGAUUAUUGUGCUUUUGAUGGUCAGUGAUACAUAAGGAGAAUUGAAGUUACAGAGGGUGUUUUGGUACCUAGCAGAAAGAUUAUAAUUAACAAAAUGGACUGUUUGGCAUUUCUUUUUGUUAUUUUUCAUUUCUUUUUUAUGCUCAUACUCAUCAUCUAAGAUAACAGAGAAAUUCAAUCUACUACUCUCUUCAGAAUGCACUUAAGCAGCCUCUUUUAGAAAAGGAUAUAAUUUCCAUCUACUGGAAUUCCAUUUCAAAUAUAAACAAGACACCCCGGAGGGAAAGGAGUUACAGAUGCUGGUGAUUCUGACAGCAUUAACCAAUGGGAGUUGAGAACCCUGACUGGCACACUGCCCGCACCACCAACUGCUCUCUCGGGCCCAGGGUGGCGAUGGGUUGUAGCCGCUGCCGAUGCUCUUUCCUUCUGGUGCCAGAUGCAGCUUCAGUAUCAUCUGCAAGUUGGGGGGACCGUGAUGAUUGGAGUCAGCACUUGAGAGGAAACGUGCUUGCUGUUCCAAUUCUAGUGGAUAUUCUUCGUGGAUGUUGACUAAUAAAACAAAUGGACAUUCUCAUGUUAGGUACCGUCUAAUUAAUUUUUC
RNAcentral lists this long non-coding RNA (2238 nucleotides) under Homo sapiens (human). RNAcentral describes it as "HSALNT0130972". Lineage: Eukaryota; Metazoa; Chordata; Mammalia; Primates; Hominidae. The record is from RNAcentral.